UUGACAUGGUGCAGUGGUUUGAGUGCUGGACUAUGACUCUGGAGACCAGGGUUCAAAUCUCUGCUCAAG
Molecule: non-coding RNA, 69 nt
Organism: Phrynosoma platyrhinos (Desert horned lizard)
Lineage: Eukaryota; Metazoa; Chordata; Lepidosauria; Squamata; Phrynosomatidae
Source: the annotation of a GenBank genome assembly